UCCUCGGUAGCGCAGUAGGUAGCGCGUCAGUCCCAUACUCUAUAUAGUAGAUCUGAAGGUCGUGAGUUUGAUCCUCACCCGGGGCA
Molecule: transfer RNA, 86 nt
Filed under: Dreissena polymorpha
Lineage: Eukaryota; Metazoa; Mollusca; Bivalvia; Myida; Dreissenidae
Rfam family: tRNA
About the family: Transfer RNA (tRNA) molecules are approximately 80 nucleotides in length. Their secondary structure includes four short double-helical elements and three loops (D, anti-codon, and T loops).
Source: Rfam by way of RNAcentral